ACCUGGGUGGCUCAGUCAGUUAAGCAUCUGACUUCUGCUCAGUCAAUCUCACAGUUUGUGGGUUCAAGUCCCACAUCAGGCU
RNAcentral lists this transfer RNA (82 nucleotides) under Felis catus (domestic cat). It matches the Rfam family "tRNA". Rfam says of the family: Transfer RNA (tRNA) molecules are approximately 80 nucleotides in length. The record is from Rfam by way of RNAcentral. Lineage: Eukaryota; Metazoa; Chordata; Mammalia; Carnivora; Felidae.